RNAcentral lists this long non-coding RNA (724 nucleotides) under Mytilus galloprovincialis (Mediterranean mussel). Lineage: Eukaryota; Metazoa; Mollusca; Bivalvia; Mytilida; Mytilidae. The record is from RNAcentral.
GCAAGAAACUAUAUACAAAACAAAAGUAAAUGUUCUUUAAUUAACUCUGUUAUUGCGAUUGCUGUAAUGAAUCGUGUGGAUUCAUUUAUAUUCGUUGGAUACCAAUUUUCGUCGAUUUCGAGGGAACAGGGGAACCACGGAUAUAAAUGUUCAACGAAAUACAAUUUUUUUAAAUGAAUGUGUGCAAACUUUCUCCAAAACCACAAACUUAGAUAUCCACGAAAAUGCAAGUGUUUCUCAAUGCACGAAAAUUGGUACCCACGAAAAAAAAACGAAUCCAAUGUAAAUUAUCUUUUCUAUAAAAGCUUUUUUUAUUCUGUUCUCAGUUGUACUUAAAUUGCCAUCUUUCGAUGUUGUUUUGAUCAUUUGUUUUCUUCUUCUGUCUCCUUUUUCAUGCUUGUAUUUUUUGUUUAGCACAUUUCUGUCAGGCGUUUGAUAUGAUAUCAUACAUUUAAUAAGCUUUGGAACUGACCCGGCUUAGUAUGACACUGUUUUUCUUUCAAAUGCAUCUCCUUCGUAAACAUUUUGUUUUCGACCAACACUGUACAUUACACCAAAAGGAAGCUUCGGUCAAUUUGGACCGAAACGAUCCGAUGACAUUUUAUAGUAGUUAUCUACCCUUCGCUGUAUAUGUAACGCAUACGUCAUGUGUUUUCACGUGUAUAGGAAUAUUUUGUUCUAAUAUUUAAAAUAAAUGUUGACAGAAAGAGGUAUUUAUCAAGCA